RNAcentral lists this unclassified non-coding RNA (306 nucleotides) under fungal sp. RNAcentral's name for it is "partial internal transcribed spacer region". The stretch from base 1 to 46 matches the Rfam family "Eukaryotic small subunit ribosomal RNA", at positions 1786 to 1831 of the family's 1831-position model. Lineage: Eukaryota; Fungi. The record is from RNAcentral.
AAGUCGUAACAAGGUUUCCGUAGGUGAACCUGCGGAAGGAUCAUUAUUGAAUAAACCUGAUGUGGUUGUAGCUGGCCCUUUCGGGGGUAUGUGCACGCCCGUCAUCUUUAUCUUUCCACCUGUGCACUUUUUGUAGACCUGGAUGUAACACUUUCCGAGGCAACUCGGUCGGGAGGAAUGCUGUCGGCUUUCCUUGCAUGUCCAGGCCUAUGUUUUCACAUACCCCAAAGAAUGUAACAGAAUGUAUCAUUGGGCCCUGUGCCUAUAAACUAUAUACAACUUUCAGCAACGGAUCUCUUGGCUCUC